RNAcentral lists this ribosomal RNA (383 nucleotides) under uncultured eukaryote. Its description in RNAcentral is "partial 18S ribosomal RNA". It matches the Rfam family "Eukaryotic small subunit ribosomal RNA", at positions 592 to 976 of the family's 1831-position model. The record is from RNAcentral.
CAGUAGCGUAUAUUAAAGUUGUUGCGGUUAAAAAGCUCGUAGUUGGAUCUCGGCAGGCAGGGGGUGGUUCGCUCUUAGCGCUACUGCCCCAUUUGCCUGUGUGAUUGGCGGAGGUUUCGGGGUGCUCUUCGUUGGGUGACCCGGGGCGCCGUCAGGUUUACUUUGAAAAAAUUAGAGUGCUCAAAGCAGGCUUUUCACGCUUGAAUAUUCGUGCAUGGAAUAAUGGAAUAGGAACUCGUUUCUAUUUUGUUGGUUUUCGGAAACCGAGUUAAUGAUUAAUAGGGACAAUUGGGGGCAUUAGUAUUCAGACGACAGAGGUGAAAUUCUUGGACCGUCUGAAGACUAACUACUGCGAAAGCAUUUGCCAAGAGCGUUUUCACUAA